This 20-nucleotide non-coding RNA is filed under the name Arabidopsis thaliana (thale cress). The record is from RNAcentral. Lineage: Eukaryota; Viridiplantae; Streptophyta; Magnoliopsida; Brassicales; Brassicaceae.
AAAUCAGGUAAAACAUGGUC